This 253-nucleotide ribosomal RNA is filed under the name uncultured bacterium. Its description in RNAcentral is "partial 16S ribosomal RNA". It matches the Rfam family "Bacterial small subunit ribosomal RNA", at positions 524 to 776 of the family's 1533-position model. The record is from RNAcentral.
UACGGAGGGUGCGAGCGUUAUCCGGAUUCACUGGGGUUAAAGGGUGCGUAGGUGGGAAUGUAAGUCAGUGGUGAAAUCUCCGUGCUUAACACGGAAACUGCCAUUGAUACUAUGUUUCUUGAAUUUUCUGGAGGUUAGCGGAAUAUGUCAUGUAGCGGUGAAAUGCUUAGAUAUGACAUAGAACACCGAUUGCGAAGGCAGCUAACUACAGGGAUAUUGACACUGAGGCACGAAAGCGUGGGGAUCAAACAGG